This 460-nucleotide ribosomal RNA is filed under the name uncultured bacterium. RNAcentral's name for it is "partial 16S ribosomal RNA". It matches the Rfam family "Bacterial small subunit ribosomal RNA", at positions 338 to 795 of the family's 1533-position model. The record is from RNAcentral.
CCUACGGGAGGCAGCAGUGAGGAAUAUUGGUCAAUGGACGAGAGUCUGAACCAGCCAAGUAGCGUGAAGGACGACUGCCCUAUGGGUUGUAAACUUCUUUUAUAUGGGAAUAAAAUGUUCCACGUGUGGGAUUUUGUAUGUACCAUAUGAAUAAGGAUCGGCUAACUCCGUGCCAGCAGCCGCGGUAAUACGGAGGAUCCGAGCGUUAUCCGGAUUUAUUGGGUUUAAAGGGGGCGUAGGUGGAUUGUUAAGUCAGUUGUGAAAGUUUGCGGCCCAACCGUAAAAUUGCAGUUGAAACUGGCAGUCUUGAGUACAGUAGAGGUGGGCGGAAUUCGUGGUGUAGCGGUGAAAUGCUUAGAUAUCACGAAGAACUCCGAUUGCGAAGGCAGUUCACUGGACUGCAACUGACACUGAGGCUCGAAAGUGUGGGUAUCAAACAGGAUUAGAUACCCCGGUAGUC